UCAAGUUAUUAAGGGUGCAGGGCGAAUGCCUUGGCACUAGGAGCCGAUGAAGGACGUGAUAAGCUGCGAUAAGCUUCGGGGAGUUGCACGUAAACUUUGAUCCGAAGAUUUCCGAAUGAGGAAACUCACUUAGAGUAAUGUCUAAGUAUCGUAUGAUGAAUACAUAGUCAUGCGAGGGGAACCCGGAGAACUGAAACAUCUAAGUACCCGGAGGAAGAGAAAGAAAUUCGAUUCCGUAAGUAGCGGCGAGCGAACGCGGAACAGGCCAAACCAGUGAAGUUUUCUUCGCUGGGGUUGCGGACAUAUCAUAACGAAGAGGUAUCGUAGAAGAAGAGAGUUGGAAAGCUCCGCCACAGAUGGUAACAGCCCAGUAUUUUAAACGAGAAGACUUUAGAUAUGAUCCAGAGUACCACGGGACACGUGAAACCCUGUGGGAAGCAGGAGGGACCAUCCUCCAAGCCUAAAUACUACCUAGUGACCGAUAGCGUAUAGUACCGUGAGGGAAAGGUGAAAAGAACCCCGGGAGGGGAGUGAAAGAGAACCUGAAACCCUGCACUUACAAGCUGUAGGAGCACAUUAUUUGUGUGACUGCGUACUUUUUGUAGAACGGGCCAACGAGUUACGUUGUGUAGCAAGGUUAAGCACUUAAGGUGUGGAGCCGUAGCGAAAGCGAGUCUUAAAUGGGCGUCCAGUUACCCGACGUAGACCCGAAACCAGGCGACCUAUCCAUGAGCAGGUUGAAGCGAAAGUAAAAUUUCGUGGAGGACCGAACCCACGUACGUUGAAAAGUGCGGGGAUGACUUGUGGAUAGCGGUGAAAUUCCAAUCGAGCCUGGAGAUAGCUGGUUCUCCCCGAAAUAGCUUUAGGGCUAGCCUCAAGCUUAGAGAAACGGAGGUAGAGCACUGAAUGUCCUAGGGGGUAUUGCACUUACCGAAGACUAUCAAACUCCGAAUGCCGUAUUCUUUUGCUUGGGAGUCAGACUAUGGGUGAUAAGAUUCAUAGUCAAGAGGGCAACAGCCCAGAUCGUCAGCUAAGGUCCCUAAAUGUAAGUUAAGUGGUAAAGGAUGUGGAAUUGCACAGACAACCAGGAUGUUGGCUUAGAAGCAGCCACUCAUUUAAAGAGUGCGUAAUAGCUCACUGGUCGAGUGAUUCUGCGCCGAAAAUUUCCGGGGCUAAAACUUACUACCGAAGCUACGGCAUCAUUAUGAUGGGUAGGGGAGCUUUCUAUGCGGCUUGAAGCAUGACCGUAAGGACAUGUGGACUGCAUAGAAGUGAGAAUGUUGGCAUGAGUAGCGAGAUGUGGGUGAGAAUCCCACAGGCCGUAAACCCAAGGUUUCCAGGGGAAGGUUCGUCCGCCCUGGGUUAGUCAGGACCUAAGCCGAGGCCGAAAGGCGUAGGUGAUGGACAACAGGUUGAUAUUCCUGUACCACCAAUAACCGUUUGAGAAAUGGGAUGACACAGUAGGAUAAGCUAACCGCACUGUUGGUUAUGUGCGGGCAAGUAUUGAGGCAGUUCCGAUAGGCAAAUCCGUCGGAAUAAUGCUGGGGUACGAUGCGGAGCGAAAUUAAGUAGCGAAGUAGCUGAUUUCACACUGUCGAGAAAAGUCUCUAUCGAGGUUAAAGGUGCCUGUACCGCAAACCGACACAGGUGGGUGAGGAGAGUAUCCUAAGGCCAGCGAGAGAACUGUUGUUAAGGAACUCGGCAAAAUGACCCCGUAACUUCGGGAGAAGGGGUGCCUUCGAAAGAAGGCCGCAGAGAAUAGGCCCAAGCGACUGUUUACCAAAAACAUAGGUUUCUGCUAAGUCGCAAGACGAUGUAUAGGAGCUGACGCCUGCCCGGUGCUGGAAGGUUAAGGGGAUCUGUUAGAGCAAUCGAAGCAGUGAACUUAAGCCCCAGUAAACGGCGGCCGUAACUAUAACGGUCCUAAGGUAGCGAAAUUCCUUGUCGGGUAAGUUCCGACCCGCACGAAAGGCGUAACGAUUUGGGCACUGUCUCAACAACAGACUCGGUGAAAUUGUAAUACCGGUGAAGAUGCCGGUUACCUGCGACAGGACGGAAAGACCCCAUGGAGCUUUA
This 2076-nucleotide ribosomal RNA is filed under the name Intestinibacter bartlettii. RNAcentral's name for it is "23S ribosomal RNA". It matches the Rfam family "Bacterial large subunit ribosomal RNA", at positions 3 to 2103 of the family's 2925-position model. Lineage: Bacteria; Bacillati; Bacillota; Clostridia; Peptostreptococcales; Peptostreptococcaceae. The record is from RNAcentral.